This is a non-coding RNA of Microcebus murinus (gray mouse lemur), 2104 nucleotides long. The record is from RefSeq and is a predicted model, not a curated record. NCBI's taxonomy places the organism in Eukaryota, Metazoa, Chordata, Mammalia, Primates, Cheirogaleidae.
GGAUGAAAGCAAAAAUUGUUGAGCCAUACAAUAAAAUAGUAGCCCGUACUGCACAACUAGCAAGACUUCAGGUUGCCUGUGAUUUGCUUCGGAGAAUUAUUCGCAUUUUAUAUCUCUGUAAGAGACUCCAAGGACAACUGCAAGGAAGAAGUAGAGAGAUAACAAAAGCUGCUCAGAGUCUCAAUGAACUUGAUUAUCUUUCUCAAGGAAUAGAUCUUUCCGGAAUAGAAGUAAUAGAAAAUGAUCUGCUUUUUAUUGCAAGAGCUCGACUUGAAGUGGAAAAUCAAGCUAAGCGUCUAUUGGAGCAAGGUGUAGAGACUCAGAAUCCUACUCAAGUUGGAACAGCUCUUCAGAUUUUCCAUAAUCUUGGAAUUUUGAAGGAUACUAUUAUCGGUGUUGUGGAUGGAUAUCGUACUACUUUAAAGGAAAAUAUCAACAGUGCAUGAGACAUCAAAGUUUUGACUCAGCCUUCUCAGUCAGCUGUGAGAGGGGGUCCUGGAGAUCUACCAUGCCAACCCCAGGAAAUACUGCAGCAUUUCGUGCUUCCCUCUGGACCAAUAUGGAGAAAUUAAUGGAUCUUAUUUGUUCUGUUUGUGGACAGGUACAACACCUACAAAAAGUAUUGGUGAAAAAGAGAGAUCCUGUCUCUCACAUUUGUUUCAUUGAAGAAAUAAUUAAGGACGGACAACCUGAAAUUUUCUACACAUUUUGGAAUUCAGUUACUCAGGCACUUUCUUCUCAAUUUCGUACAGCAACAGAGUCUUCGAUGUUUUUGAAACAGGCAUUUGAAGGAGAAUACCCCAAACUGUUGCGUCUUUGUAAUGACUUAUGGAAGCGUCUUCAACAAUACAGUCAAAAUAUCCAAGGGAAUUUUAGUGCAAGUGGAACUACAGACCUCUUUGUUGACCUACAACACAUGGAAGAUGAUACACAAGAUAUAUUCAUACCAAAAAAACCAGAUUAUGAUCCAGAAAAGGCUUUGAAAGACUCACUGCAACCCUAUGAGGCUGCUUACCUGUCAAAAUCUUUAUCGCAACUCUUUGAUCCUAUCAACUUGGUUUUUCCCCCUGGUGGUCGUAAUCCUCCUUCCUCUGAUGAACUUGAUGGUAUCAUUAAAACUAUAGCAAGUGAACUAAAUGUAGCUGCCGUUGAUGCAAACCUCACAUUAGCUGUGUCAAAAAAUGUGGCAAAGACCAUUCAGUUAUAUGGUGUAAAAUCAGAGCAGCUUCUUUCCACACAAGGAGAUGCAAGUCAGGUGAUUGGGCCUCUUACUGAAGGACAGAGAAGAAAUGUGGCUAUAGUGAAUUCACUGUAUAAGUUGCACCAAUCAGUAACAAAGGUAGUUUCCAGUCAGAGCUCGUUCCCACCAGCAGCUGAGCAAACUAUAAUUUCAGCCCUAAAGGUGAUCCAUGCUCUUAUGGGAAAUGCUGUGCAGCCCGUACUGACUUCAGUGGGAGACGCUAUAGAGGCCAUAAUCAUCACCAUGCAUCAAGAAGAUUUUUCUGGGUCAUCAUCCAGCUCAGGAAAGCUCGAUGUUCCUUGUUCUCUGUACAUGAAGGAGCUACAAGGUUUCAUUGCCAGAGUUAUGAGUGACUACUUUAAACACUUUGAAUGCUUAGAUUUUGUCUUUGAUAACACUGAAGCUAUUGCCCAAAGAGCAAUUGAACUUUUUAUCCGCCAUGCCAGUCUCAUAAGACCUCUUGGUGAAGGUGGGGAGAUGCGACUUGCCUCUGAUUUUGCACAGAUGGAGUUGGCUGUGGGUCCGUUCUGCAGACGAGUUUCCAACUUGGGAAAGUCCGAUCGAAUGCUGAGGUCGUUCAGACCACUGCUCUUCCAGACAAGUGAAAAUGUGGCCAAUAGCCCUACACUGGGGGACAUCAUUCCAUUCAGCGUCAUUAUUCAGUUUCUGUUCUCGAGAGCACCUGCUGAGAUGAAAUCCCCUCUCCAGAAGGCCGAGUGGUCCCACGCAAUUAUUUUCUAUAAAUCUAACCUGCUUAUUUUGAUAGCACCUAACCUUAAUAAAGCCAAAUUAUACCCACCCACAUAUUCUAAGCAAAAAGGCAUUUAUGCCUCCACUUUGCAGAUUAGUUACUCCUAUGGUUGA